UCAAACGGGAUUUAGAUUUACAAUCAAUUCAUAGUUCUGACAGAUCAUUUCACUCGCGCACCGAAUCGUUUGGAGCGAUUUCUCAGUCCUUCAAACAGUGACAGAAUACUUGAGCACACCGUGAACAAAAAGAGCGCGGGAAAAGCGGAUGUUUGUCUGAACGCUGAAGUUGCCACACCUGCACAUGGACUUGAACGAUGCAGUAUUUCAGAAUUGUUUAUUUAGAUGAAGAACCUUCACUUUACGACCACAACACAUGGGAGGCGUUUCAACCUUGCACUCCAGCUUCACCUCAGUGCCGGGCGCAAGCACAGAAAAGGUUGGAGUAAUAGGCUUGAGUGUGUAUGAUGGGCCGGCUUGCAGAGAAGGCCAACCUCCCCGACACCCCCGCCAACACUUCACAUGCGUUUGGCCGGCCCUGAAAAUCCCUGAAACUUGAAGAGCCGAGAGGUCAGACGAGUGCUCCGAUGAGAUGCAUCAAGGGAAAAGAUCUGAUUAUUUUCGAUCGAUCAAAAACCUGUGAAAGACCACCUCGUAAAAUCCACGACACUGUUCCACGGCACUCUAAAGACCAGCGUAGGAGAGCUCGGAGGAGUGGCAGCUGGAGAAAGAGUGAGAAAGAAAAGCAACAAAAGUGGCAGGAUAAAAGAAAUCUUGAUUUUGUAUGAGAGAGUAUUGAUUUUUUUUCCACUGGGUUGCCCACGAGCACCCUUUCUGUUAUUAGUUUAGAGAAGGGAAAAAAGAAAGAAAACGGCAUAUACACGAAAGAGAGAGACAGAAAGACAAAGAGAGGGAGUGCAGGAUGAGAAAAGCAAAAGAAGAGAGUAGAGAAAAUGAGACGGCAGAAACCAGAAAGACUUGGAAAGGGCACUGAAAGUGAAAAUUGAGAGACAUGUGAAAGAAAUGCGGUAUGUAUAUGCUGUUCAGUAUGCAGAUUCAUGGAA
Long non-coding RNA from Labeo rohita (rohu), 944 nucleotides. RefSeq lists it as uncharacterized. The record is from RefSeq and is a predicted model, not a curated record. The transcript is spliced from 3 exons. NCBI's taxonomy places the organism in Eukaryota, Metazoa, Chordata, Actinopteri, Cypriniformes, Cyprinidae.